This 478-nucleotide ribosomal RNA is filed under the name uncultured bacterium. Its description in RNAcentral is "partial 16S ribosomal RNA". It matches the Rfam family "Bacterial small subunit ribosomal RNA", at positions 28 to 523 of the family's 1533-position model. The record is from RNAcentral.
GACGAACGCUGGCGGCGUGCUUAACACAUGCAAGUCGAACGGUAAGGCCCUUCGGGGUACACGAGUGGCGAACGGGUGAGUAACACGUGGGUGAUCUGCCCUGCACUUCGGGAUAAGCCUGGGAAACUGGGUCUAAUACCGGAUAGGACCCUGGGAUGCAUGUCCUGGGGUGGAAAGCUUUUGCGGUGUGGGAUGGGCCCGCGGCCUAUCAGCUUGUUGGUGGGGUGAUGGCCUACCAAGGCGACGACGGGUAGCCGGCCGUAGAGGGUGGCCGGCCACACUGGGACUGAGAUCCGGCCCAGACUCCUACGGGAGGCAGCAGUGGGGAGUAUUGCACAAUGGGCGCAAGCCUGAUGCAGCGACGCCGCGUGAGGGAUGACGGCCUUCGGGUUGUAAACCUCUUUCAGCACCGACGAAGCGCAAGUGACGGUAGGUGCAGAAGAAGGACCGGCCAACUACGUGCCAGCAGCCGCAGUAA